Molecule: long non-coding RNA, 411 nt
Filed under: Nicotiana benthamiana
Lineage: Eukaryota; Viridiplantae; Streptophyta; Magnoliopsida; Solanales; Solanaceae
Description: long non-coding RNA (NBEN_LNC027323)
Source: RNAcentral
CUCAAGCCCAGAGUACCACAGCUUAAACCCAUCAGCGUCCCGCGCCUUCGACCCUUUCCACCUAGUCUCCUGGACGCACGCUAUGUUAACCCUUCGCUGUUGCAGAACCUUCGCCAACUCAAUGGACUUACCCGUCAGAGUACCUAUGUUCCAAGACCCAAUCCUUAGUCUAUGGACGUCCACCGCCCUCUUCCCACCCUUUCCUCCCGCCCUGCCCAAAGUGCCACUCCCUGCGCCCCUACUCACCCCCGCUACCACCCCCACCCCCUGAGGACAUGACCUUACGCUAUCAUCUCCCACCGCGGCCACUAUCCCACCAACCGAUAUGGGGUACAGUAGCACACGCACGCACUAUAGCGAAAAACGCAAAUGUAUCAAACUAGAUAACAACAGAAUAGAACACACUCUGAA